RNAcentral lists this unclassified non-coding RNA (213 nucleotides) under plant metagenome. RNAcentral's name for it is "partial contains small subunit ribosomal RNA, internal transcribed spacer 1, and 5.8S ribosomal RNA". The record is from RNAcentral.
UUUCCGUAGGUGAACCUGCGGAAGGAUCAUUCAUAAUAAGUGUUUUAUGGCACUUUUUUAAAUCCAUAUCCACCUUGUGUGCAAUGUCAGGGUUGAUUUUUCUCUCGAGAGGAUCGGCCCCAAACACCAACUAUAUCCCAACUCUUUGUCUGAAAAAUAUUAUGAAUAAAACAAUUCAAAAUACAACUUUCAACAACGGAUCUCUUGGCUCUC